CGACCGGCGCACGGGUGCGUAACGCGUAUGCAACCUACCAUCAACAGGGGGAUAACACUGAGAAAUUGGUACUAAUACCCCAUAAUAUCUCAUGCGGCAUCGCAUGGGGUUGAAAACUCCGGUGGUUGAUGAUGGGCAUGCGUUGUAUUAGCUGGUUGGUGAGGUAACGGCUCACCAAGGCGACGAUACAUAGGGGGACUGAGGGGUUAACCCCCCACAUUGGUACUGAGACACGGACCAAACUCCUACGGGAGGCAGCAG
This 261-nucleotide ribosomal RNA is filed under the name uncultured bacterium. Its description in RNAcentral is "partial 16S ribosomal RNA". It matches the Rfam family "Bacterial small subunit ribosomal RNA", at positions 92 to 354 of the family's 1533-position model. The record is from RNAcentral.